Culicoides brevitarsis is the source of this 72-nucleotide non-coding RNA. NCBI's taxonomy places the organism in Eukaryota, Metazoa, Arthropoda, Insecta, Diptera, Ceratopogonidae. The record is from the annotation of a RefSeq genome assembly.
GCGUCUAUGGUGUAGUGGUUAGCAUACUUGCCUUCCAAGCAAGUGACUCGGAUUCGAUUUCCGAUAGACGCA